GAGGUAUGAGGAUAAUAUUGAUACAGUCUGAUACUAUAAUGAAGACUGUCAGAUCCAACUCUGAUCUCCCAAAGUGU
This is a non-coding RNA of Pelobates cultripes (western spadefoot toad), 77 nucleotides long. Lineage: Eukaryota; Metazoa; Chordata; Amphibia; Anura; Pelobatidae. The record is from the annotation of a GenBank genome assembly.